RNAcentral lists this ribosomal RNA (259 nucleotides) under uncultured bacterium. RNAcentral's name for it is "partial 16S ribosomal RNA". It matches the Rfam family "Bacterial small subunit ribosomal RNA", at positions 524 to 776 of the family's 1533-position model. The record is from RNAcentral.
UACGUAGGGUCCGAGCGUUGUCCGGAAUUAUUGGGCGUAAAGAGCUCGUAGGCGGUUUGUCGCGUCUGCUGUGAAAUCCCGAGGCUCAACCUCGGGCCUGCAGUCGAUACGGGCAGACUAGAGUGCGGUAGGGGAGACUGGAACUUCCGUGGUGUAGCGGUGAAAUGCGCAGAUAUCGAGGAGGAACACCGGUGGCGAAGGUGGGUCUCUGGGCCGUAACUGACGCUGGAGGAGCGAAAGCCGUGGGGAGCGAAACAGG